CAUGACUCGAGCAGGCAGCGCUGCUGGCCGCAGGUGUUGGGAUUUCUGAUUGUAAAAUUUCUUGUCCUAACCUGUGCUCAAACUUCGCAGAGCCAUUUAAUUGCCUUCUGCGGCGGCGAAGAUGUGAAAUUAGUCUCCCUUCUGAUCUUGAGCUAAGUUGGUCCAAAGCACCGUCUUAUAAUUUGCUCAGAUCAUCUCGCCGUCGGGUGGUGGAAGACACGGGGCCGGGGCUGCAGGGAGCACUGGAGUUCACACGGGACAGGAGUUCCACCUCGCUGUCCUGGAGUCACGCUGCUGGCAACAGCCGAGAAACGGAGCCGGUCUGGGGGACGGGGGAGAAGCUGAGGCAGGGGCAGCAGCAGGAAGAUGCCUGUCCCCAUCCAUCCUCUGCUGUCCCCGUGCUGGGGACAGCCUCCCUGACCUCCCGUCCAGGCUGGGCGCCUGCAGACGGACCUUUGGAGGCAUCAAAGGAGGUGGAGAUUCCAGCCCCUAUUGAAUUUCUAGUCCCCAACGACCUGAGGGGCAGGGGAAAGAAGGGAACUGGUUUUUGUCUGCUCGGUAUCUCAGACAAUCAAUGAAUUAAAGGGAAAUAAACUGCUGAUGAGGAGCGAACGUGGAGCUCGACGUGCUGCAAAACGUGAGGAGCAGAGAAGCGGCCGUGGCCAUUCCACAGUGCGGGGCAGGAAAGGGACGAUGGUGUGGGCACAGAGAAGGCCUUUCUUUCAUUUGUUCCUGGCCAAGAGCACACGCAGAUCGCCCUGGGGACAGCGGCACUUUCCUCCUCCGCGCAGAAUGUGCUGAAUGCGAGGGUAUUAUUUUUAACAGGGAUAUUUAGCUCCUCUUUACCCUCGUGUAGGUGGUUUACCCUCCACGGCCUCAAUCCCAGGGGAGGCUCCCGGUCAUCGCCCGGCCCCUAAGAACAGCGGAGGAGCAGCAGAGGCUCACAGACACGAGCUGUGCCUCGCCGUGACCGGGAGUUCAGUCCGGCCUCGCUGUGGGAGCGCGUGGAGCACAAAGCCGG
Molecule: long non-coding RNA, 1021 nt
Organism: Gallus gallus (chicken)
Lineage: Eukaryota; Metazoa; Chordata; Aves; Galliformes; Phasianidae
Source: Ensembl